GGCUAUAGCCUUGGUGGGGGGCGUGGGCGAAGUUGGUCCGCGGGACUCGGAAUGGCACCAUACUUGGCGGGCGGCCUCCGUGUGCCAAAAAUGGGCCACGGGCACAGCCGCGCCCAAAAAUCAGCCCCGGAAGGUGGGGGUCCCAAGACCCCCCAGGGGAAAAAUGGCCAAAAAAGGGGUGGGCUAUAGCCUUGGUGGGGGGUGUUGGAAAAGUUUGUCCGCGGGACUUGGAAUGGCACCAGACUUGGCGGGCGGCCUCCGUGUGCCAAAAAUAGGCCACGGGCACAGCCGCGCCCAAAAAACAGCCCCCGAAGUUUGGGGUCCCCAGGCCCCCCCGCGGAAAAAUGGCCAAAAAACGGGUGGGCUAUAGCCUUGGUGGGGGGCGUGGGCGAAGUUCGUCCGCGGGACUCGGAAUGGCACCAGACUUGGCGGGCGGCCUCCGUGUGCCAAAAAUAGGCCACGGGCACAGCCGCGCCCAAAAAACCGCCCCCGAAGUUCGGGGUCCCAAGACCCCCCAGCGGAAAAAUGGCCAAAAAACGGGUGGGCUAUAGCCUUGGUGGGGGGCGUGGGCGAAGUUUGUCCGCGGGACUCGGAAUGGCACCAGACUUGGCGGGCGGCCUCCGUGUGCCAAAAAUAGGCCACGGGUACAGCCGCGCCCAAAAAACAGCCCCGAAGUUCGGGGUCCCAAGACCCCCCAGCGGAAAAAUGGCCAAAAAACGGGUGGGCUAUAGCCUUGGUGGGGGGCGUGGGCGAAGUUCGUCCGCGGGACUCGGAAUGGCACCAGACUUGGCGGGCGGCCUCCGUGUGCCAAAAAUAGGCCACGGGCACAGCCGCGCCCAAAAAACAGCCCCCGAAGUUCGGGGUCCCAAGACCCCCCAGCGGAAAAAUGGCCAAAAAACGGGUGGGCUGUAGCCUUGGUGGGGGGCGUGGGCGAAGUUCGUCCGCGGGACUCGGAAUGGCACCAGAAUUGGUGGGCGGCCUCCGUGUGCCAAAAAUAGGCCACGGGCACAGCCGCGCCCAAAAAACAGCCCCCGAAGUUCGGGGUCGCAAGACCCCCCAGCGGAAAAAUGGCCAACAAACGGUGGGCUAUAGCCUUGGUGGGGGGCGUGGGCGAAGUUCGUCCGCGGGACUCGGAAUGGCACCAGACUUGGCGGGCGGCCUCCGUGUGCCAAAAAUAGGCCACGGGCACAGCCGGGCCCAAAAAACAACCCCCGAAGUUCGGGGUCCCAAGACCCCCCAGCGGAAAAAUGGCCAAAAAACGGUGGGCUAUAGCCUUGGUGGGGUGCGUGGGCGAAGUUCGUCCGCGGGACUCGGAAUGGCACCAGACUUGGCGGGCGGCCUCCGUGUGCCAAAAAUAGGCCACGGGCACAGCCGCGCCCAAAAAACAGCCCCCGAAGUUCGGGGUCCCAAGACCCCCCAGCGGAAAAAUGGCCAAAAAACGGUGGGCUAUAGCCUUGGUGGGGGGCGUGGGCGAAGUUCGUCCGCGGGACUCGGAAUGGCACCAGACUUGGCGGGCGGCCUCCGUGUGCCAAAAAUAGGCCACGGGCACAGCCGCGCCCAAAAAACAGCCCCCGAAGUUCGGGGUCCCAAGACCCCCCAGCGGAAAAAUGGCCAAAAAACGGGUGGGCUAUAGCCUUGGUGGGGGGCGUCGGCGAAGUUCAUCCGCGGGACUCGGAAUGGCACCAGACUUGGCGGGCGGCCUCCGUGUGCCAAAAAUAGGCCACGGGCACAGCCGCGCCCAAAAAACAGCCCCGAAGUUCGGGGUCCCAAGACCCCCCAGCGGAAAAAUGGCCAAAAAACGGGUGGGCUAUAGUCUUGGUGGGGUGCGUUGGCGAAGUUCGUCCGCGGGACUCGGAAUGGCACCAGACUUGGCGGGCGGCCUCCGUGUGCCAAAAAUAGGCCACGGGCACAGCCGCGCCCAAAAAACAGCCCCGAAGUUCGGGGUCUCGGAAAAAUGGCCAAAAAACGGGUGGGCUAUAGCCUUGGUGGGGGGCGUGGGCGAAGUUCGUCCGCGGGACUCGGAAUGGCACCAGACUUGGCGGGCGGCCUCCGUGUGCCAAAAAUAGGCCACGGGCACAGCCGCGCCCAAAAAACAGCCCCCGAAGUUCGGGGUCCCAAGACCCCCCAGCGGAAAAAUGGCCAAAAAACGGAUGGGCUAUAGCCUUGGUGGGGGGCGUGGGCGAAGUUCGUCCGCGGGACUCGGAAUGGCACCAGACUUGGCGGGCGGCCUCUGUGUGCCAAAAAUAGGCCACGGGCACAGCCGCGCCCAAAUAAAAGCCCCCGAAGUUCGGGGUCCCAAGACCCCCCAGCGGAAAUAUGGCCAAAAAACGGGUGGGCUAUUACCCUUGUGGGGGGCCUGGGCCAAAUUCCUCCCUGGGAC
RNAcentral lists this long non-coding RNA (2380 nucleotides) under Citrus x clementina. RNAcentral's name for it is "Citrus clementina (C. clementina) long non-coding RNA (CCLE_LNC006075)". Lineage: Eukaryota; Viridiplantae; Streptophyta; Magnoliopsida; Sapindales; Rutaceae. The record is from RNAcentral.